UGUGUCAGAGGGGGGUAGAAUUCCACGUGUAGCAGUGAAAUGCGUAGAGAUGUGGAGGAAUACCGAUGGCGAAAGCAGCCCCCUGGGAUAACACUGACGCUCAUGCACGAAAGCGUGGGGAGCAAACAGGAUUAGAUACCCUGGUAGUCCACGCCCUAAACGAUGUCAACUAGUUGUUGGGGAUUCAUUUCCUUAGUAACGUAGCUAACGCGUGAAGUUGACCGCCUGGGGAGUACGGUCGCAAGAUUAAAACUCAAAGGAAUUGACGGGGACCCGCACAAGCGGUGGAUGAUGUGGAUUAAUUCGAUGCAACGCGAAAAACCUUACCUACCCUUGACAUGCCACUAACGAAGCAGAGAUGCAUUAGGUGCUCGAAAGAGAAAGUGGACACAGGUGCUGCAUGGCUGUCGUCGGCUCGUGUCGUGAGAUGUUGGGUUAAGUCCCGCAACGAGCGCAACCCUUGUCUCUAGUUGCUACGAAAGGGCACUCUAGAGAGACUGCCGGUGACAAACCGGAGGAAGGUGGGGAUGACGUCAAGCCCUCAUGGCCCUUAUGGGUAGGGCUUCACACGUCAUACAAUGGUGCAUACAGAGGGUUGCCAAGCCGCGAGGUGGAGCUAAUCCC
RNAcentral lists this ribosomal RNA (624 nucleotides) under uncultured Ralstonia sp. RNAcentral's name for it is "bacterial SSU rRNA". It matches the Rfam family "Bacterial small subunit ribosomal RNA", at positions 647 to 1275 of the family's 1533-position model. The record is from RNAcentral. Lineage: Bacteria; Pseudomonadati; Pseudomonadota; Betaproteobacteria; Burkholderiales; Burkholderiaceae.